Molecule: long non-coding RNA, 1167 nt
Filed under: Androctonus crassicauda
Lineage: Eukaryota; Metazoa; Arthropoda; Arachnida; Scorpiones; Buthidae
Source: RNAcentral
AAACUUUUAUACUGCUGUUACUCAAUAGCAAUAAUUUGUUCAAUUGUUCUCUGAGUUUUGUAAGCCUGAGGAGGAUGCUGUAAGCAUUGAAAAUGUUAGUUUAUGUAUGUUCAAAUGGAUGAACUGUUGUUUUCAGCUGCAGAAAGUGCUGAGAUUUUGUUAAAUUAGUGCCAUUGAGUAACUGCAGUAUAAAAGUCAAGCGCGUCAAGUGCAUCAUCAUUCAACCUUGAAUUAUAGUCAGUUGAUGAGUCUUGGAUGAUACGGUUUCAAUUUCAUAUCUUUGAGCAUUUGCUGUAAUGAUGUUCUGGGAAUUGUCAGUGUUGCAGACAGAUGGCAUGUUGAUUUGGAUUUGUGGGGUGAUGACUCUAACACCUGUUGCAGCCACUUCUUGUUCUCUGCUGUGUUGACAGUUUUUGGUCUCCCUGCAUGCGGCAUAUCCAGUACAGUUGCAUCGAAGUGUUUGCUUAAACAUGCAGUGGUCUUUGGCUUUGGUGCAUUUGGUCCAUACUCAAGAUGCAUACAGCAAUGAACUUCCUGCAUGUUGUCAGUUGUGGAGUACAGAUGUACACAUCAAAUUCAUUACUCCAGAAGAAUCCUUCUAGUUGCCAUUUCAGAAGUUCAACCUGUAAGAUAAAAACACUUCAAAACAUUGCAAUAUGACACUUCUGCUACAUGUUACAAGUUGAACUUAUCAGAGAAUGCACUUCUAGAAGUUAUGACGAUUCAAACUGUAAUCUACUACUAAUGGCAGGGAUACUCAACCUACAGGGUAGGCUGAGUAUCCCUGGUCCAAAAUAUUCCAAAAUCUGUAACUUUACUUUUAUAACAUGGAACUGUAUCCCUAGGACUAUGAUUCACUGUUGUGCCAUGAAAGGUGACACAAUAGUGCAUGAAUAGCUAUAGUGCCUUGUUGUGAUUCAGUAAAUCAUCAAACAUUGUCAGUAAACUGAUGGUUUAAUGAAGUUAUAGGAGAGAUGUCUGUGAUUAAUUUUUUAUUGUGUUGUUUAUAUAUAAUUAAAAAUGUCAAAAGUCUGAUAGUGAAUUUUUUUAUCACUUCUCUUCAAUGUAUGUAUGUAUGUAUUAUACAAUAUGAUAUAUUACAGGGCAACUUUUGUAUAGCCUUAGUCAAAAGUAUACAGUAUAACUUACAUUCCAGAUAUACAUAUA